AACGAACGCUGGCGGCAGGCCUAACACAUGCAAGUCGAGCGAGAACUUCGGUUCUAGCGGCGGACGGGUUAGUAACGCGUGGGAAUAUGCCCUUCACUACGGAAUAGUCCCGGGAAACUGGGUUUAAUACCGUAUACGCCCUUCGGGGGAAAGAUUUAUCGGUGAAGGAUUAGCCCGCGUUGGAUUAGGUAGUUGGUGGGGUAAUGGCCUACCAAGCCGACGAUCCAUAGCUGGUUUGAGAGGAUGAUCAAACCCUUUGCCAAG
RNAcentral lists this ribosomal RNA (264 nucleotides) under uncultured bacterium. Its description in RNAcentral is "partial 16S ribosomal RNA". It matches the Rfam family "Bacterial small subunit ribosomal RNA", at positions 29 to 322 of the family's 1533-position model. The record is from RNAcentral.